This 391-nucleotide ribosomal RNA is filed under the name Limosilactobacillus fermentum. Its description in RNAcentral is "bacterial SSU rRNA". It matches the Rfam family "Bacterial small subunit ribosomal RNA", at positions 1 to 355 of the family's 1533-position model. Lineage: Bacteria; Bacillati; Bacillota; Bacilli; Lactobacillales; Lactobacillaceae. The record is from RNAcentral.
UUAUAUGAGAGUUUGAUCCUGGCUCAGGAUGAACGCCGGCGGUGUGCCUAAUACAUGCAAGUCGAACGCGUUGGCCUAAUUGAUUGAUGGUGCUUGCACCUGAUUGAUUUUGGUCGCCAACGAGUGGCGGACGGGUGAGUAACACGUAGGUAACCUGCCCAGAAGCGGGGGACAACAUUUGGAAACAGAUGCUAAUACCGCAUAACAACGUUGUUCGCAUGAACAACGCUUAAAAGAUGGCUUCUCGCUAUCACUUCUGGAUGGACCUGCGGUGCAUUAGCUUGUUGGUGGGGUAAUGGCCUACCAAGGCGAUGAUGCAUAGCCGAGUUGAGAGACUGAUCGGCCACAAUGGGACUGAGACACGGCCCAUACUCCUACGGGAGGCAGCAGU